AGACGGAGGGUGCAAGCGUUAAUCGGAAUUACUGGGCGUAAAGCGCUCGUAGGCGGCUUGUUAAGUCGGAUGUGAAAGCCCUGGGCUCAACCUGGGAACUGCAUUCGAUACUGGCAGGCUAGAGUAUAGUAGAGGCAAGUGGAAUUCCGGGUGUAGCGGUGAAAUGCGUAGAUAUCCGGAGGAACAUCAGUGGCGAAGGCGACUUGCUGGACUAAUACUGACGCUGAGGAGCGAAAGCGUGGGGAGCAAACGGGAUUAGAUACCCCAGUAGUCC
This 274-nucleotide ribosomal RNA is filed under the name uncultured bacterium. Its description in RNAcentral is "partial 16S ribosomal RNA". It matches the Rfam family "Bacterial small subunit ribosomal RNA", at positions 523 to 796 of the family's 1533-position model. The record is from RNAcentral.